CAGCAAACUUUCUGAGGGUGUGCUCAAUCCCACUGUCUAUGCUGUUAAGAUGUUGAAGAGCACCAGUCCCAACACAGACCCCUGAAGGACAACAUUUGUGUCUGGCCUCCAUAUGGACAUAAGGCCAUUGACAACAGCCCUCUGUUGUCAGCUACAGUCAUUCAAUCAGUUCUUUAUCCAUCUGAUAGUCCAGCACUACGACCAGAUAACCAUUAAAUCAAGAAAAUGAUUUUUAGCCAUUUAUGCAUUUUAAGUAUCUUAUUUGUCAUUGUAGUAAAUGAGCAUAUACAAAUGAUUUGUAAUUAAUUUUGCAUAUUUUUGCACAAACUAAAUGCUUCUUUCUGUGACAUAUGGUUCUGAACUUCAUUAACUAUUGAUAAUAUUGUUAUUGGGUGGUAUUGAUAUACAAAAAAUAUAUGUAUAUUGCUGUUGAUGAUUUUUAAUUAAUUCUUUGUAAUAGGUGAACUUCUCUUCAGCAGAUGUGUGGGAAUUGCUAAGUCACAGCCCGAACCAAUGAUUGAGUACCUGGUGAAGGGACACAGCCAGUUCUGGGAGCACAGGUGAAAGCAAUUCCCUGUGCAACCAGAACCUGGUUUCACCCCUCCCUAACCCUCAUUUAAGGGCUGGCUACCACAAGUGAAGGAUAUCUACCUGGAGAUCCCUCUGUUUGAAGUAUUCAGUGAGCCCUAGUCCUUAGGAUGGACCCUGCUGGCCCAGCUGGCUGUGUGGGAGGCCAGAAGGAGCAUUGCUUCUGACCAGGUCCCCUAGACAUCAAGCAGCUCAUACCGCUGCCAUCAGCGUUUAGAAUAAUGCGAACAAGAGAGAAAUGAAGAAUUAUAAUGUGGCCUGAAGCAAGAGCUCUGGAUGAACUAUCAUCUGCAAUUGCUCCAGGUACUCCAGCACCUUUGCCAGCAUAUCCUCGUCCAGAUACUGCCUAUUUUGUGUGUCAUCGGUGUCCCCAGCCAUGGAG
Numida meleagris (helmeted guineafowl) is the source of this 970-nucleotide long non-coding RNA. RefSeq lists it as uncharacterized. NCBI's taxonomy places the organism in Eukaryota, Metazoa, Chordata, Aves, Galliformes, Numididae. The transcript has 4 exons. The record is from RefSeq and is a predicted model, not a curated record.